This 279-nucleotide ribosomal RNA is filed under the name uncultured Glomus. Its description in RNAcentral is "partial 18S small subunit ribosomal RNA". It matches the Rfam family "Eukaryotic small subunit ribosomal RNA", at positions 591 to 873 of the family's 1831-position model. Lineage: Eukaryota; Fungi; Glomeromycota; Glomeromycetes; Glomerales; Glomeraceae. The record is from RNAcentral.
CCAAUAGCGUAUAUUAAAGUUGUUGCAGUUAAAAAGCUCGUAGUUGAAUUUCGGGAUCAAUAUUUCGGUCAUGCCGUUGGUAUGCACUGUUAUCAUUGAUUUCUCACCUUCUAAAGAACCGUAAUGCCAUUAAUUUGGUGUUACGGGGAAUUAGGACUGUUACCUUGAAAAAAUUAGAGUGUUUAAAGCAGGCUCACGCUUGAAUACAUUAGCAUGGAAUAAUGAAAUAGGACGUUUGAUUCUAUUUUGUUGGUUUCUAGGAUCGACGUAAUGAUUAAU